AGGACUUCCCACAGAAGGGCAUUAUUUGAAACAAAACUGGUAUUUCAACUUUGGUAUCAGCCCAAGUCCUACACUCUAAUAAGAUCUGAGAGGAGUGUCUUGAUCUUCCAGGAAGGAGAGGAGUAUCCUGAUAUCAGACCCAAGAAUGGGCAUAUCACCUAUCCUACAGAGUACACAUGGAGUUUGGAUCUGGAAAUGGACUCCCUUAAAAUGAUCUGCACAUAAGGAUUCUUUAUAGAGAUUUUUCAACUACCCUUGGGGACAUGGUACCCUACACCCACAGAAAAAGGUCAUUUGUCUUCUGACUGGAAGGAUCCAUUGGAACAAGAACUUGAUAUUGGCCCUGGGAGUGGAGUCCUGGAGAGGGCUGGAAGGAACAAAUCCCAGGCACAAGGAAGAACAAACCCUAGCUGGGGAUGUCUGCUCUUCUCAAUAAACCUGCUCUGUCUUCAA
Long non-coding RNA from Mustela lutreola (European mink), 453 nucleotides. RefSeq lists it as uncharacterized. The transcript is spliced from 2 exons. NCBI's taxonomy places the organism in Eukaryota, Metazoa, Chordata, Mammalia, Carnivora, Mustelidae. The record is from RefSeq and is a predicted model, not a curated record.